RNAcentral lists this ribosomal RNA (336 nucleotides) under Triatoma ryckmani. Its description in RNAcentral is "partial 16S ribosomal RNA". The stretch from base 1 to 162 matches the Rfam family "Archaeal large subunit ribosomal RNA", at positions 1946 to 2143 of the family's 2987-position model. Lineage: Eukaryota; Metazoa; Arthropoda; Insecta; Hemiptera; Reduviidae. The record is from RNAcentral.
CUAACCUGCCCAAUGAGGAGUUCAAUGGCCGCAGUAUUUUAACUGUGCUAAGGUAGCAUAAUCAUUUGUCUUUUAAUUGAGGGCUAGUAUGAAAGGUUGGACGAGGUAUUAACUUUCUUUAACUUAAUUAAAUGAAUUUAAUUUUUUAGUUAAAAAGCUAAAAUUUAUUUAUUGGACGAGAAGACCCUAUAGAUCUUUAUAAUUUUAUGUUUUAGUAAUUUAGAGAUUAUUUUAUUUAAAGCAAAAGAAUUAUUUUGUUGGGGUGACCAUAGAAUUUAAAAAACUUCUAUUAAAUAAUAUCAUUCAUUUAUGUUUUUUUGAUCCAUAUUUUAUGAU